This 688-nucleotide ribosomal RNA is filed under the name uncultured Methylophilaceae bacterium. RNAcentral describes it as "bacterial SSU rRNA". It matches the Rfam family "Bacterial small subunit ribosomal RNA", at positions 557 to 1243 of the family's 1533-position model. Lineage: Bacteria; Pseudomonadati; Pseudomonadota; Betaproteobacteria; Nitrosomonadales; Methylophilaceae. The record is from RNAcentral.
GGCGUAAAGCGUGCGCAGGCGGUUUUGUAAGUCAGAUGUGAAAUCCCCGAGCUCAACUUGGGAACUGCGUUUGAAACUACAAGACUAGAAUAUGUCAGAGGGGGGUAGAAUUCCACGUGUAGCAGUGAAAUGCGUAGAGAUGUGGAGGAAUACCAAUGGCGAAGGCAGCCCCCUGGGAUAAUAUUGACGCUCAUGCACGAAAGCGUGGGGAGCAAACAGAAUUAGAUACCCUGGUAGUCCACGCCCUAAACGAUGUCUACUAGUUGUUGGUGGAGUAAAAUCCAUGAGUAACGCAGCUAACGCGUGAAGUAGACCGCCUGGGGAGUACGGUCGCAAGAUUAAAACUCAAAUGAAUUGACGGGGGCCCGCACAAGCGGUGGAUUAUGUGGAUUAAUUCGAUGCAACGCGAAAAACCUUACCUGGCCUUGACAUGUAACGAACUUUCCAGAGAUGGAUUGGUGCUCGAAAGAGAGCGUUAACACAGGUGCUGCAUGGCUGUCGUCAGCUCGUGUCGUGAGAUGUUGGGUUAAGUCCCGCAACGAGCGCAACCCUUGCCAUUAAUUGCCAUCAUUUAGUUGGGCACUUUAAUGGGACUGCCGGUGACAAACCGGAAGAAGGUGGGGAUGACGUCAAGUCCUCAUGGCCCUUAUGGCCAGGGCUUCACACGUAAUACAAUGGUCGGUACAGA